UUACUAUCUUAGUGGCGGACGGGUGAGUAACGCGUGGGUAACCUGCCUUACACUGGGGGAUAACACUUAGAAAUAGGUGCUAAUACCGCAUAACAGGAGAAGAUGCAUGUCUUUUCCUUGAAAAUUCCGGUGGUGUAAGAUGGACCCGCGUCUGAUUAGCUUGUUGGCGGGGUAACGGCCCACCAAGGCGACGAUCAGUAGCCGGCCUGAGAGGGUGAACGGCCACAUUGGGACUGAGACACGGCCCAAACUCCUACGGGAGGCAGCAG
Molecule: ribosomal RNA, 269 nt
Filed under: uncultured bacterium
Lineage: Bacteria
Description: partial 16S ribosomal RNA
Rfam family: Bacterial small subunit ribosomal RNA
Source: RNAcentral